GGGAGCAUAGCUCAGCUGGGAGAGCAUCUGCCUUACAAGCAGGGGGUCACAGGUUCGAGCCCUGUUGCUCCCACCA
This 76-nucleotide transfer RNA is filed under the name Peptoclostridium litorale DSM 5388. RNAcentral's name for it is "tRNA-Val". It matches the Rfam family "tRNA". From Rfam's summary of the family: Transfer RNA (tRNA) molecules are approximately 80 nucleotides in length. Their secondary structure includes four short double-helical elements and three loops (D, anti-codon, and T loops). RNAcentral also lists the same sequence under 4 other names. The record is from RNAcentral. Lineage: Bacteria; Bacillati; Bacillota; Clostridia; Peptostreptococcales; Peptoclostridiaceae.